Molecule: unclassified non-coding RNA, 732 nt
Filed under: Hevea brasiliensis (rubber tree)
Lineage: Eukaryota; Viridiplantae; Streptophyta; Magnoliopsida; Malpighiales; Euphorbiaceae
Source: RNAcentral
CCUGGUUUUUUUCUUGACUUUCCACAUUGUUCUCACUAGCACUUUGCUCCACCUGACUACCAUCUUUUUCUUCCCGCCUAUUUUCAUCUAAACUGUCUCCCAUGUCUAAAUUCUUGCCCCCCUCAUCAGACUCAGAUUUAUUUUCACCAGAGGCCUCCUCUGAUUCUGUUUGCUCACUUUUAUUCAUUUCACCACCUUCAGCUUGCGUCUGUCUAGUUUCUCCAUCUCCUGUGUUUUCACCUCCAUCAUUUUCAGCCUCCUCUUUUGGCCCCUCUUGAGACUCAGUCUUCCCGUCCUGGUUUUCUUCCUUAUUCUUGGACUCAAUCUUCAUAUCAGUGCCUUCUGUCUCAACCUUCUCUUCCUUCUUACCCUCAACUAUAAUCCCAGUCUCUAACGCGUUCUCACUUUGAUCAUCCUGAGUAUCAGAUUUGUUUUCACUUUGAGAAUAAAUGGUAUUGCCAUCGUUUUUCAUUGCAUCUUCUGGUAAAUCGCCUGAACUGUCUUCAAAUUGCUUAGAAUUACUUUCAAUGCCUGUUCCUUUGACCUCAUUUACUGUCUCUUGGGAGGAUAAGUUUGAAUCAUGAACUGGAACAACAGAAGAUGACAUUAACAUCCAAACUCCAACUAAACAAAAGGCAACAAACACAACCACAACGAUUGUUGAACAGUAGCCUGAUGACUUCCUCCCAUCAACACGGGAGUACUUCCCCAUGGCCAUGCCUCUUUCGAUAA